AACGAACGCUGGCGGCAGGCUUAACACAUGCAAGUCGAGCGCCCCGCAAGGGGAGCGGCAGACGGGUGAGUAACGCGUGGGAACAUACCCUUUGGUUCGGAAUAACUCAGGGAAACUUGAGCUAAUACCGGAUACGUCCGUAAGGAGAAAGAUUUAUCGCCAAAGGAUUGGCCCGCGUCCGAUUAGCUAGUUGGUGAGGUAACGGCUCACCAAGGCUACGAUCGGUAGCUGGUCUGAGAGGAUGAUCAGCCACAUUGGGACUGAGACACGGCCCAAACUCCUACGGGAGGCAGCAGUGGGGAAUAUUGGACAAUGGGCGCAAGCCUGAUCCAGCCAUGCCGCGUGAGUGAUGAAGGCCUUAGGGUUGUAAAGCUCUUUUGUCCGGGAAGAUAAUGACUGUACCGGAAGAAUAAAGCCCCGGCUAACUUCGUGCCAGCAGCCGCGGUAAU
RNAcentral lists this ribosomal RNA (449 nucleotides) under uncultured bacterium. Its description in RNAcentral is "bacterial SSU rRNA". It matches the Rfam family "Bacterial small subunit ribosomal RNA", at positions 29 to 524 of the family's 1533-position model. The record is from RNAcentral.